UAUGUAUAAUGGAAAUAAGGUCUUCAAGACAAAGCUUCCACGAUGGAAAACAAAUAGUCCUUCAAUCUCACUUGAGCUUCCUAAACAAGAAAUGAAACCAGAAGCCUAAUUAAGCUAACCAUUCGGAUACAUAACCACCAACCUACUCAAAAGAUGCUUAUACCAACUAACGAUUUCUGGAAAGCAAAACAUAGAAAGUUUGGAUUCGAAAAAUUAACGUUGUCUUCGAGGAAAAUCUUCGCACCAAGAAAAAAGCUUGUCAAGAUGUUUUCUCCUCCAGAGAUCCUCAACACUUUGCUGUUUCUAUUCUGUUCUCUAUUUUUGUUGUCCGAAUGUUCAAUUAUAAACGAUCCAAGAUCUACAAUCAUCUGCAUGCCCGGUGAUACAAUACACAAUGUCACCCUAACGCAUGGUAUAAACGCUGGUGUAUUCACCGCUAUCGACUGGGCUAAAACAAUGCCUCAGUGUAUACGAGAAUCCUGCAACCGAAAAGCGGGGCAAAUCGCCUUUUUAGUAGAGAGUAGUUGCUACAUGGUGAGCUGUUUUAGGAAGGAGUAUUGCAAAUCUUUUUCUGAUUCAAUGCCGAACACUCUUCGAGUUGCGGUGACUCCCUACACAUUCUUUGAUGCAGCCCCAGCGUUUCAGCCUCUAGAAAGAACAUUAUACAUUGAUGAAAAUAACAAAGUCGGCAAAAAACUUAUUGAUAUUUUUGCAUAUGCGAAGAGCAGACGGAGUGAUAACGCAACAGUUUUUUUCAAUAUAACAAGAGGAAAUAUUGCAAAUGCGUUUAAGCUCAUCCAACGUCCUGAAAGAGGAGGCGCUUCACUAGUUGCAAACGUCGUCCUCGAUCGUGAAAACGUAUCAUAUUACUAUUUAAUAAUCCAAGCCACCAAUGUCGAUGAACAAAAAAUAAGUACUACAACCUUAAGGGUCGAAGUUCUUGACAUUAAUGACAACGGCCCAAAAUUUCUCAAAUCUCAGUACAGUACGACGAUAAACAGUAACGUAUCUAUUGGUACAGAGGUAUUAAGAGUGUAUGCUGUCGAUCCGGAUACCGGCGAAAAUGCGCAAAUCCGGUACUAUCUCAUCACCUACACCCAACUUUUUCAAAUUCUUCCUGAGACAGGAACGAUCAUAGUAAAGCAACGAAUCCAACUUGAUCGAACGCGGACGUUCACACUGAUUGUUGCCGCCAUUAAUGGAGAACAUCGGGCUGUGGUAUCAGUCAAUGUUCAAGUUGUUGCUUUAAAUGAAUUCAGACCGUUUUUCCAACGUUUGAAUUAUCAGGUGUCAGUUUCAGAAGCCAUAAAAGUUGGGACAUCGUUGAUUAGGAUAUCAGCGACAGAUAGCGACACAGGAUCAUUUUCACAGCUGAAGUACUCUAUCACAAGCGGAAACAAUAANCUAUUCCGAAUUGACGACAGUGGUGACGUCAGAACAACGAAGUCUUUGCAUAGCAUUGGAGUAAAGAAUUUCACACUUAGGAUCAGUGUGCGUGAUAGUGGAAAUCCUCCUUUGAAAUCGGUACAGUCUGCUAAGCUUGUGGUGCUUGUUACGUCAAUGGAAAGAUACAAGGUGAAGUUCGACGUUCCGCUGUAUACUAUUGCUAUUAUGGAGAACAUUCCAGUAGGUUCUAGUAUUCUCAAUGUGCGUGCAGUAUCAGGAUUGAGUGCAAGCCGUCCUGGUCGGCAAAAAGAGAACCGGAAGGGAAGGAUUGUGUACUCUAUUGAAAAUAAAGAUGGAGCGCCGUUCUUCCGUAUCUCGAAGCAUACGGGGGCCAUAUCCACGAGACGACCAUUUGACUACGAGCUACAAAAAGAAUUCAGAUUGACGGUAAAUGCUAAAGACAUCGAGGCAAGAAGACGUGGACUGCGUGUCCAAAAAGAUCACGCAAUCGUAAGAGUCAAGGUGAUUGACCUGAACGACAACCGUCCAAAGUUUGUCCUUUCAUUCUACCAAGAUAUCAUCAACGAGAACAUGACAGUAGGUUCUUCCAUCCUUCGAGUUACAGCCAACGAUGCUGACAAUGGCAUGAACAAGAAAGUCGAGUAUAUCAUGCAGUCCGGCAAUAUCAACAACACCUUCUCCAUGGACGCUGAUUCUGGAACGUUGAGAUUAAGCCGCUCCUUGGCUCAGGGAACUAUUGAGUUCUACAAUCUAACUGUCUUUGCCAAAGAUAAGGGACGUCCACCUUUAAGUUCGAGUCCAGUUUCGAUUUACAUCAAAGUGAAACGCCACACAUUUGGCCCGACAAUAAGGCCGGAGUUUACAGUGCCAGUCUACCUCGCUAAAGUAAAUGAAAGCUGCCCUGUUCAUACUGAGAUUCUCCGAGUUCGAGCACGAAUGAACUCGGGGCCGGAUAGUGGGAUUAAGUAUUAUGCAACGCAGGUUUCUGGUGGAGAAGCUGACUCGCAUUUUGCGGUAAAUUCAGUAACUGGUGCUAUAACACUUAUACGGAAACUGGAUUAUAAGAAAAAAGAUCGUUAUACGUUUCUGGUUGCAGCGAUUGAUGUAAGCAAGGCUUCUUCGGUGGACAACGUGUUGGUUCGUAUACUCGUAGAAGACGUUAAUAACCAUAAACCCGUCUUCGAUAAACCAGUAUAUAACGUCAUAUACAACAAAGAACCGCAAUUGUUCUCAAGGGUGGUGCAAGUCACGGCUACUGACGAAGACGCGGGUCAAAAUGCUGACUUGACUUACUUUCUUCAUGACAACGCCAAAGACAAAAAAGGAUUCUUUGAAAUUGAGCCAAAGACUGGAAUAAUGAAGAUAAUGCGCAUGCUCCAACGAGAGUCCCUCAGUUUGUUCCGCAUGUCAGUUUCUGUGAUUGACAACGGCACGCCUUCCUUGAGGUCCGACAAAAAUGCAGAAAUAAAUGUCUUGAUUUUCCAACCCUUCAGCACUCCAUUGAUUCUAAUCAAGACUACACAACAAACGAUAACAGUGCAGUUUAACCUGAAAUAUCUGGACCUAACCAACGUGAAAGAAUUUGGAGUCAUUGUUCAAGAGUAUUUGCCAAGUUCAGAUCUAUUCGAGGACUACACCAAGCUGAAACCAACGACAUGGUUUCUCAUUGGAUAUCUCCAAAAGAAAAACCAGAACUUACGCCGUUACAUUUCCAAGAUCGUGCCGAACACACCCGUUAUUACGAAAUUCGGCAUGUUCCAGAUUACUGUUGGCGAUGACAAGGGCUGUAAUUUGCGCAAUGAGAUUUGCAGUGGACCGUUGAAUCCUAGUUCUAAAUACAGAUUUCAGCUGCGAGCCUAUCUUAACGACAGUGGUCCGUUCGCUCAGCACAAGUUUAAAGAUGGCGAUUUUACUGAGGCGUUUUUCACAGGGCUGGGCACCGAAGCCAAAACCUACAGGAAGGAAGGACGUCGCAACUAUGAUGCCGUUGUGUACAGUGUUGGAGCAGCGCUAAUUCUUGUGAUCUUGCUAUCUUUCCUGAGAGGAUUCUAUCGGUUAAAGCUGGAUAGAUUACGAAUCCACGAGGACAAGAAGAAGCAGAUUUCAUUUCCGGUCAGCAACCCUCGCUUCCAGGACCCUGAGUCACCCGUGGAGAAAAUCAGGACACCUGGGCAAGGGAGGAAACUAAUGGCGUCGAUAAAUGCUGAGAAAUCAUUAGAUAUCGGUAGAAGCGAAGAAGACGAUGGUUCUUCACCAGACUCCGCAUUAGGUACGUGUACCUCAUGCCAAUCUGAGCCCACAAACCAAGAAACCAUGAGAUCAGCGUACUUUGCCUUUGAGUAUUAGGACUUCCAUGACAUGCAGUUCACCCAUGACCAUUUCUCGAGGCCACUUCAGAUAACAGCCCAGUGUGAUACACCACUCUUACGAAUCAACGCGACCCUUACAGAGACAAAGACCAAGACUCCAAGACAUAAGACUGAAAAGCUACUUUCAUUCGGUGGACACGGAGUCGUGCAACUCCUG
Molecule: unclassified non-coding RNA, 3933 nt
Filed under: Actinia tenebrosa (Australian red waratah sea anemone)
Lineage: Eukaryota; Metazoa; Cnidaria; Anthozoa; Actiniaria; Actiniidae
Description: protocadherin Fat 4-like, transcript variant X1
Source: RNAcentral